Molecule: long non-coding RNA, 1062 nt
Filed under: Salmo salar (Atlantic salmon)
Lineage: Eukaryota; Metazoa; Chordata; Actinopteri; Salmoniformes; Salmonidae
Description: lncRNA (ENSSSAG00000116432.1)
Source: RNAcentral
UUUGUAAUAGAGAUCUCUUUAUUAUAGUGCAUUUCUCAGAUGUUACAAGAUGGGUUAAAAAAAGCUAAAAACAAAGGGAAAUCCUUAAGUAAAAGAAAAUACAUAUGCACACACACCUUGUGUCAUUUGUACAGAAAAUGAUCUGAAAAUUAAAGCUUCACAUCUGAACAAGGGUAGCUAAAUGAAAUUGUCAAGUUAAAAUAAAUGUUCAUACAGAAGUUCAUAUACACUUGAAUUACCUGCCAUAUACCGGAAGUGACGCUCAUCAUUCAAUUCAAUGGAUUUUCUUUCAGCACUAAACUCUACAAUAUCAUUACAGAAGAAAAGGGCCAAAAAUUAGAUUAGAGUUAAUUUGUUGAAACCAUUUUCUGGAACAAUUCAUAAAAGAAAAAAAAAAAAGAGAUCUAAUUGUCCAGUUGUACACAGAUACAAGGGUAAAGGUCAGUCCUACCCUCAAGAGGUCAGUGUGGGGCUGGGACCUUAGGGUCAUCUUCGAUCAGCAGGGGGUGUGUACAGUACAGUGUACUAAGGGUUUCUCAACUAAAUUCGCAGUAGCCUUUGGAAUACAUGGGAUGUACAGAAAACCAUUUUGUCAGUUAUGGUAUACAUUUUGAAGCUGUGUGUUGAUGUGGAGAACAGCCGCGGCUUAAUUUGCACGUGGUCUGCUGGUGUAGUUAGGUUGAUGAGGCAACCUUCCAUGGUCUAGUUACAGUACUAUUGUAUUAUAGUGCAAGCUGGUCAUGUUUCACAUGGAGCGAAGGGGAAGAUGUGACUACCUGUGCAGCAGAACCGGGAAAACUAACCCCGACGACACAUAUAGAGCAAACAACCUAGAUAGCCCCGCAUAGGGUGUGUGUUAACAAUUCAGAGUUUGGAUUGUAGGCUGAAGUAAAGCGUAACGCAUUGAAUGCCAUGAGAGCUUGAUAACAACACGGCACUAUGAGGAAUUGGAGAGUGCCGUGUUAGUGCAGCUGAAAGUCAGUGGCGGCUGAUGGAAGGAGCUAAAGGAGGGGCUUAAUGUAAUGUCUGGAAUGGAAUCAAUGGAAAGGUAUCAAAUAUAUC